GGUCGAUACAUCACACGCGCUCAUAACCUUCUUUUCCUUUCCUUUUCUACUCUUCUUCUUCUUCCUUCUAUUCUUCAACCUUCUGUAUGUAUUCCACUUCCAGCUAGGUUUCAAAAAAACCCAAAAGAUCCAUUAUGUAUCUCACUUUUUCUCUGAGAUUAGCUUUCACACGGAUCGACCUUCGAAUUUGGGUUCAUCUUUGCAUAUUAAUCUUGUGAUGGAGUCUAUAAAGCCCUACUACAUCAUACUCUCUCUUCUACUGGAUCUGGUUUUGUUUUUCUGGUUGUUGUUUAGUGAAGGAAGUUUUUCUGUUUUUUUUUUUCACGAAAUCAGGUUCGUCAAUUUCACCUUUCACCUAAUUUUUGGUUGAAUUUGAAUGUUUGUUUCACAUAUUAGGGCAAAAUUAGCAUAAUAGGAUUUUGGUUGAAUUUUUAGUAUAAUAUGUGUAUUUUUUGAAUUUUCGUUGAAUUUGAAUGUUUGU
Molecule: long non-coding RNA, 481 nt
Organism: Helianthus annuus (common sunflower)
Lineage: Eukaryota; Viridiplantae; Streptophyta; Magnoliopsida; Asterales; Asteraceae
Exons: 3
Source: RefSeq, a predicted model, not a curated record